RNAcentral lists this ribosomal RNA (383 nucleotides) under uncultured eukaryote. Its description in RNAcentral is "partial 18S ribosomal RNA". It matches the Rfam family "Eukaryotic small subunit ribosomal RNA", at positions 592 to 976 of the family's 1831-position model. The record is from RNAcentral.
CAAUAGCGUAUAUUAAAGUUGUUGCAGUUAAAAAGCUCGUAGUUGGAUUUCUGGCAGGAGCGACCGGUCACGCACUCUGUGCGUGAACUUGUGUUGUCUCUGGCCAUCCUCGGGGAGAUCCUGUUUGGCAUUAAGUUGUCGGGCAGGGGAUACCCGUCGUUUACUGUGAAAAAAUUAGAGUGUUUAAAGCAGGCUUAUGCCGUUGAAUAUAUUAGCAUGGAAUAAUAAGAUAGGACUUCGGAACUAUUUUGUUGGUUUGCGUUACGAAGUAAUGAUUAAUAGGGACAGUUGGGGGUAUUCGUAUUUCGUUGUCAGAGGUGAAAUUCUUGGAUUUCCGAAAGACGAACUACUGCGAAAGCAUUUACCAAGGAUGUUUNCAUUAA